UACAGAGGUCUCGAGCGUUAGGCGGAAUCACUGGGCUUAAAGCGUGUGUAGGCGGAUCGUUAAGUGUCUUGUGAAAUCCCUCGGCUCACCCGAGGACCUGCACCCCAAACUGCCUGUCUUGAGUAUGGGAGAGGAUGAGGGAAUUCCUGGUGUAGCGGUGAAAUGCGUAGAUAUCAGGAGGAACACCGGUGGCGAAGGCGGCGUCCUGGACCAACACUGACACUGAUGAGCGAAAGCCAGGGGAGCAAACGGG
This 253-nucleotide ribosomal RNA is filed under the name uncultured bacterium. Its description in RNAcentral is "partial 16S ribosomal RNA". It matches the Rfam family "Bacterial small subunit ribosomal RNA", at positions 524 to 776 of the family's 1533-position model. The record is from RNAcentral.